Molecule: ribosomal RNA, 365 nt
Filed under: Bacillus cereus
Lineage: Bacteria; Bacillati; Bacillota; Bacilli; Caryophanales; Bacillaceae
Description: bacterial SSU rRNA
Rfam family: Bacterial small subunit ribosomal RNA
Source: RNAcentral
AGCAGCUGCGGUAAUACGUAGGUGGCAAGCGUUAUCUGAAUUAUUGGGCGUAAAGCGCGCGCAGGUGGUUUCUUAAGUCUGAUGUGAAAGCCCACGGCUCAACCGUGGAGGGUCAUUGGAAACUGGGAGACUUGAGUGCAGAAGAGGAAAGUGGAAUUCCAUGUGUAGCGGUGAAAUGCGUAGAGAUAUGGAGGAACACCAGUGGCGAAGGCGACUUUCUGGUCUGUAACUGACACUGAGGCGCGAAAGCGUGGGGAGCAAACAGGAUUAGAUACCCUGGUAGUCCACGCCGUAAACGAUGAGUGCUAAGUGUUAGAGGGUUUCCGCCCUUUAGUGCUGAAGUUAACGCAUUAAGCACUCCGCCU